GAUGAACGCUGGCGGCGUGCCUAAUACAUGCAAGUCGAGCGAACGGACGAGAAGCUUGCUUCUCUGAUGUUAGCGCGGACGGGUGAGUAAACCGUGGAUAACCCACCUUUAAGGAUGGGGAAACCUCGGGAAACCGUAGCUAAUACCGGAUAAUAUUUUUGACCGCAUGGUUCAAAAGGGAAAGACGGUCUUGCCGGCACCUAUAGAUGGAUCCGCGCUGCAUUAGCUAGUUGGUAAGGUAACGGCUUACCAAGGCAACGAUGCAUAGCCGACCUGAGAGGGUGAUCGGCCACACUGGAACUGAGACACGGUCCAGACUCCUACGGGAGGCAGCAGUAGGGAAUCUUCCGCAAUGGGCGAAAGCCUGACGGAGCAACGCCGCGUGAGUGAUGAAGGUCUUCGGAUCGUAAAACUCUGUUAUUAGGGAAGAACAUAUGUGUAAGUAACUGUGCACAUCUUGACGGUACCUAAUCAGAAAGCCACGGCUAACUACGUG
This 496-nucleotide ribosomal RNA is filed under the name uncultured bacterium. RNAcentral's name for it is "partial 16S ribosomal RNA". It matches the Rfam family "Bacterial small subunit ribosomal RNA", at positions 28 to 507 of the family's 1533-position model. The record is from RNAcentral.